RNAcentral lists this unclassified non-coding RNA (576 nucleotides) under Hevea brasiliensis (rubber tree). The record is from RNAcentral. Lineage: Eukaryota; Viridiplantae; Streptophyta; Magnoliopsida; Malpighiales; Euphorbiaceae.
GGGAACUUGAGAAAAUAUAAUAUAAAUAUUUACUUAACAGCAGGAGAGAGCAGCAAAUUAGUCCAUGUGCUUGACUCUUUAUCAUGCAAGCCUCCACAAAAAUCGUACUGAGGUCCAUGCAUUAUUUCCUAAUUACAUGACAGACAACUACCCCAUUUAGACAUUGGAUAACCAUAUCAAUGAGAUCAUUGCACUCCAAGGCAACAUAUAUCAGCUACCCAGCAUUGGUACGUUGGUCAUUCAGGCUAGUGUCAAUGAACAAAGUAUCAAGCAUGCUUGAAAGAGAUGGAAUGAAACAGUUGUAUUACCUAAAGAUUAGCCAAAAUAGGCGCCAUGGUACAAACUUAAACCUCGUAACUAGGAUUUGAAAAUUGUCCUCAUGAGUUGCAUCACCAAUAUCAGAGUCAAAAUUGUGAAAGCUCUUCAGCAAACCUUCAGGGCUACACAUGCUAGUCAACACUUUUCGCACCUCUCCGAGGCAAGGGAAGAUCAAGGAUAACUAAGAAAUAGCAUCUUUCUGACUCCCUGAUGUAUUGGACUUCACCUUGCAUAAGCUUCAAAAUCUUCCUGCACAUG